GAUUUUUUUAGUCACAAAUAUUGAAUUUUAAAAUCACAUUUUAAUAGUUAGUCACAAAAAAUCAAAUAAUUGGUCACAUACACCCAAACACUCGAUCCUCCACCAAUAUUUGGUCACAAAUCGACCAAAUAAUUGGUCACAGACACUCUUUGUCCCAUUCCGUCGCUGUGCCGCCACCUCCACCAUCACCAACAAUAACAAUAACACAACACUACUGCCACUAACAUCACCACCUUACCACUAUCACGACAACCACCACAGUCGCCACCAUCACCACCACACCAACACCAACUCAUCAUGCCUUCAGCAAACAAGACUUUUCCCUUCCAUAGUUCCCAUGGCAACACUGCCCAAGAAGUAUGACCGUCACAACACCACCACUCAACAACCACCUCACCACCACAACCAACACUAAAACAACCAUUUGCAAAAUGGAAAACAAGUAAAAUCACCCACAACUAACAUCAAAACAAUAACAAUAGAGAAUCCUGUGUUUUGGACCGGAAGGGUUUGGCCAUGUGCCAGGAUCACAUUGUAGGCUCCAACAGCUGGCCGGUGAAAGAACAAAUUACAGCUCUGGAACACUGCAGCAGCAUUCCCAAAAAUGAAGUCGAUGGUACCGUAUAUGUUACAUUUGCCAUAAAAUUGAUGAUUGGAGACUGCGUCUAAUGUAUCCUGCUAUACCAAAAUGCUACAACUAUACAAAAUGGAUUGAUUUGAGGCUAUAUAUAGUGCCACAACUUGUUUUCUUCGAGGGCCUACUUUGAUCUCAAACCCAAUAUCUCUUGCUAUAAACCCAUUUCCUAUUAUUCCUAACAACAAGAAAACUACUAUCAAUUUACCUAUAUGAUAGCAAUGUCUUUAGAUCUCCUAAACUAAAAGUUCCAUGGAAAAGGGCUAUUGUUUGGGGGAACGUUAAUUAGAUCUGCGCUGCAGUGACCGCUGUUCGCAUUGAGCAACGAUGGAGAUGACGGCCAUGGAUGGAUCCGCAGUCGCAAGAGUGAAAUUACUCCGCGACUAGCGGGGAUUCGAGUUCCUUCUGGUCGAGGAUUCACGCUCUUUCUAGGGUGAUAUAGAUUAAAGGUAGGUGAUGGGCUAGGCGAUGAAGGGGAAGAUCAAGAGUUCGUGAUUGCACAGGAUUCGUACAGAGAGAAUGGAGGGGACGAUUCACUGUGGGGAGAGAGAGGGAGGGGGGGAUAGUUGUGGAGAUAAAUUAGGGUUUUAAUAGAUGGGGACCUGAU
RNAcentral lists this long non-coding RNA (1241 nucleotides) under Olea europaea subsp. europaea. The record is from RNAcentral. Lineage: Eukaryota; Viridiplantae; Streptophyta; Magnoliopsida; Lamiales; Oleaceae.